Molecule: transfer RNA, 98 nt
Filed under: Streptomyces roseiscleroticus
Lineage: Bacteria; Bacillati; Actinomycetota; Actinomycetes; Kitasatosporales; Streptomycetaceae
Also listed under: 1 other name
Description: tRNA-Val
Source: RNAcentral
CGCCCGUCCGCGCCGGGACGUGCGAGGAGGGCGCCGCCUGACGGGCGGCGCCCUCCUCGCGUCGUCGUGCUCCUUCCGUGCGGGUCGCUGACGGGCGG